Molecule: ribosomal RNA, 422 nt
Filed under: uncultured Clostridium sp.
Lineage: Bacteria; Bacillati; Bacillota; Clostridia; Eubacteriales; Clostridiaceae
Description: bacterial SSU rRNA
Rfam family: Bacterial small subunit ribosomal RNA
Source: RNAcentral
UGGGGAAUAUUGCACAAUGGGGGAAACCCUGAUGCAGCGACGCCGCGUGAGUGAAGAAGUAUUUCGGUAUGUAAAGCUCUAUCAGCAGGAAAGAAAAUGACGGUACCUGACUAAGAAGCCCCGGCUAACUACGUGCCAGCAGCCGCGGUAAUACGUAGGGGGCAAGCGUUAUCCGGAUUUACUGGGUGUAGAGGGAGCGUAGACGGUUGUGCAAGUCUGAAGUGAAAUGCGGGGGCUCAACCCCUGAACGGCUUUGGAAACUGUAUAACUAGAGUGCAGGAGAGGUAAGUGGAAUUCCUAGUGUAGCGGUGAAAUGCGUAGAUAUUAGGAGGAACACCGGUGGCGAAGGCGGCUUUCCGGACUGUAACUGACGCUGAGGCACGAAAGCGUGGGGAGCAAACAGGAUUAGAUACCCUGGUAGU